RNAcentral lists this ribosomal RNA (253 nucleotides) under uncultured bacterium. RNAcentral's name for it is "partial 16S ribosomal RNA". It matches the Rfam family "Bacterial small subunit ribosomal RNA", at positions 524 to 776 of the family's 1533-position model. The record is from RNAcentral.
CACGGGGGGAGCAAGCGUUGUUCGGAAUCACUGGGCGUAAAGGGCGUGUAGGCGGUCAGGUAAGUGGGAUGUGAAAUGCCCCGGCUCACCCGGGGACCGGCAUCCCAUACUGCUUGGCUUGAGUACGGGAGAGGAUGUGGGAAUUCCAGGUGUAGCGGUGAAAUGCGUAGAGAUCUGGAGGAAUACCGAUGGCGAAGGCAGCCUUCUGGCCUAAUACUGACGCUGAGGUGCGAAAGCAUGGGGAGCAAACAGG